Long non-coding RNA from Manis pentadactyla (Chinese pangolin), 4423 nucleotides. RefSeq lists it as uncharacterized. The transcript has 2 exons. The record is from RefSeq and is a predicted model, not a curated record. Lineage: Eukaryota; Metazoa; Chordata; Mammalia; Pholidota; Manidae.
UACAUGCUUAAUGUAGUUAAUUAAAAAUUGCCCUUGUUUUGAAUGGACUAACAGUUGGGACUAAUGUUAAAACUCCACAGUUGUUUAGUUUUAAUUUAUUAUCUCUGAUUAUUAGUCUCUGUCUCAUUAGUAGGCUGAUUUGGAUCCAUAAAAUUUAACAAUGUUAAUAUUCAAACACUGUUACAAUAAAAAUAACAUCAAUAUGCUUAGCUUGUCUUGUUCACCACCUUUAUAAUACAGGAUGCAAAGGGCAAAGAUUUAUUUAGUGGAAUUGUAUAUUUCAUUUGUUCUUUGUAUUAGUAAUAAAAUAGUUAAUUUGUCUUGAAUUAGACAAUUGCCUGGGAUGUUAUCUGGCAAUAUAUCUUAUGCAAUUUUAGUGAUUAACAUGUCAUUUAGUUACUGGGAAAGGGAGAAGUAAUCACUGACUUGGUUGAUGUUUUGGAGGUGACUAAUUUGAUUGUAAACAAGUAGUGUUUUUAAAGGAAGUUGUAGAUUAGUUUGUACUGUGAUCUUUUGAAACUGGAGAAAUUAAAAUUUAAGUAUGUUUAUUAGAAAAAUAGACUUAUUUUGAACACUGAGUUACUACCAUUUAUUUUUAUGUUCUUACUGAAUGAUUGAACAUUGUUUAAAAAAAUAAUUUAAAAAGUCAAUUUAGGUGGUACAAACAAACUUGUAAAACUUCCUGAAAUGGAAACUUUUAUAGGAUUAAGAGUGAAAAACAAGGAAGAGAGAUGUGUAGAAAAUAUCUGAUUAUUUGGGUCCCCUAUCCUUGUUUGGCAUGAGAAAAGCCCAGAGAUUGCUUGGUGUUUGGGGAUUGGCUCAUUUCUGGUAGAGUGGAGAAUUGACAGGCACACACAAAUUAAAUUUAAGUUUCGGUUUGCUGAUGGGACAUCUUGGUCAGAAGUAGCUCUAUCUUGGGUCUAGAAAGUUAUUUCAGCAACAUGAAGAAGCUGAUUAUUUAAGCAAACUUUGUUCAGCAUGCAACAAAUCUAUUUUUGCUAAAUAAAUAUAACCUGAAAGAGACCAUAGGGAUUUUUUUUAAGUUGUACGUUGGCUUAGGUCUUGGGUUUUGAUGGAUAUGGAGGAAUUAUAUAAGAAUAAGAAGGGAAAAUGCUAUUCAUAUUCAGGAAGGAAGACUAGCACAAGUGAAAGAGUAGAAACAGAAACCAUAGGUUUGUGGGAGGAUGGAUCAGGGAAUUGGGAGUGAGGUGUAUGGUUAGGAUAGAGAGCCCACAUUCAUGGUGUAGUGAUAUAAUGGAAAUAGUGUAUUAGGUUUAUUGUUAAUAGAGAGCUAUAUGCAUGAAAAUGUAUCAUCCAUCCCAUCAUUACUUUCUAUAGGGAAAAAUUAGAAGGAAUCUAAAUUGUCUCAUAGGAAAUCGGUUAAGUAACUUACGGUUCACCAGUUAAGUGUAAAAUGCAGAAAUAAUUGUCCAUGUUAACAGUAUGGAAAGAUGAUAAUAAAUGAAAAAGCAGAAUAAUAUCAAAAUGAUUAAAAUGCAAGUGUUAAGGUGGUGAGACUGUAGGUGAUAUCCCCCUAUUCUAUAGCACCUAGGGUCUUCCAGUAUAAACGUAUAGUUAUGUAGAAAUGAAGAUUAUAAUUAAGUUAUAAUUAAAUUAUAAUGAGAUUAAAAUUAUGAUACUUAAAAAUCUGGUGACAGUUUAUAGGGAAAACAAGGUGCUACUUCUUUCUCUGCUGAGAUGGUGUGAGGUAAAUGGCAGAAUUUUCAGAAUCUACUGCCUUGCCUUAGUUCAUUUACAUAUCAGUAGGUAUUUACCACUGCACAGCCUCCCAUCAAUCUGGGACAAGGGGUGGAGAGAAAACUGCCAUUCUCUCUCUCCUCCCCUCCAUUCCUGCUGGUAUGUAAUUGGUCUGGCAUUUGCCAUUCACCGAGGACCCAUCCAUGGAGUUCCUGGCAGAAGGAGUGGGCUGGGGAAGGAGAGAGUCAGCUGAGUCCAGAGGAGUUGGAUCUGGGGCUGGCUAGUGACUGUAAGAAAUAAAAGCCUUGCUACCAGCCUACCCUUUCCCGUGACAUUUCGAUUUCACCAGAUUCAUAGGGAACUUGUCCCAGGCAAGGAACACCCUUCUCUAUGGGGCUACAGAUGGACAUUUUUAUUAGUAUUAUUUUUGGUUAGGUAAAUAUAAAGUCAAAAGGAGAAAUUUGUUAGUCAAUGGUUUCAUGACUUAGAAACAUUAUUAGUGUCACUGGAAAAUAUUUGGAGAUAAUACUUUCUUAGAAAUAGGAGAAGAAAUAAUUACCUAGUUUUAGAUUGGUUGCAGCAAAUUACAUUUUGAGUGUUACUUGUUCUAUUAAUCUUAAUUUUCAAAUUAUUGAUACAGAAAUUUUUUUCUUAAUUUUAGAAAGUGGGUUAAUUUUUCACAAUUAUUGUCUUCAUAUUCCUCUUCAUUUCAUUAAUAGCUGUUUUACUAACUUGCUUGAAAUAUGUAUAGCAGCAGAAGAGGUACAAACCCAAUAGUUCAUCUACUAAUACUUUGUUUAGAAUUUUGGUUAGUGAAGCUUAUUUUCAAGUAAGUUUUAGAUUUGCCUAGUCCCUAAGUAAAAAACUAUGAUUUUAACAUUUCUAAUUAACUCAUAAGUUAUGUUCAGGAGUAAUUUAUUAUACUUAAGAGUUCUGCAGGGACACGUGAUAAUUCAUUGAUACUUAGGUAAGUCUCUUGAACUUCCUAAGUUUUCUGUAUAAAAUGAGAUUUACAUUUGCUAUCACUUUUUCAUAUUUUUUCUUUUUAGAUAUGGUAAUUAUUAGACUUAGGUAUAAGUACCCUGUGGAUUUGAUAAUAACUAAAUUUAAGUUUCUGUAGGUGUGGUCCCUAGAUCACAUCAGUAUCAGUAGAAUUUCAUCAGUAGUAUCUGAUUGAUUGCUGAAAUGUAGAAUUCUGAGACCCAACUCAAACCUGUUCCUAGUGGUUCUGGGGUUUUGUAGGCACACUGAAGUUUAAGACCAGAGGGUGCAUGUUAGCAGGUAGGAGAGUGGAGUAUAAAAAUUGACUUACUUAAAUUGCUACUGAGAGCUCAAAAUAAAACUUUAUACUCUGUAUCCAGAAUUAAGUCUAUGACUAUAUUUUAUACUUACCCUCUCUCACAUACAUUGCAAAUAACCCAUUUCUCUUUUCUUCAGGCUUUCUCCACUACUCCUUUUACCUUUAAUAACCAAACCACUGUCCAGUACCUAAAAGUUUCUGUAUAGUUUUUACACUGCUUUGUUGCAUUUGCUCCAUUUACCAAGGUCCUUGAAGUCAGUGAGUCACCACUUUCUUGUUCUUGGGCAUACUCACAGUAAAAAUAGUCAUUUUGUGCCUUCUUCAUUAUACUUGUGUGCUCGAAAGGUAACUGUUAGUAUGUUUAUUCUAUAAUUGGGGUGACCACGGGCCUGCAGUUUCUCUUAACUUAUUCUAAGCCCUAUUUUGACUAAGGCCUCAUAGUUCUGAUAUACCCUGGCUGGGAUUAACUAUAGUUUGUCAAAACAGUAGGCUAAUGUCAUUAGAAUCUAGUUAGAACCAAUGCCACUAAGGAAUCUCAACCCCAAGCUGAAACAGGUAAGUUCAGCAUAUACCUGUGUUUGGAACUGUGGGUAUUCCAUUGCUAAUAUUUAAAUAGUGAUAACUGUGCAAUAAUAAUGUGUAACUUUCCUGUAUUUUGGUGCCUGUAGGUUAUUCCUUUCCUCUAACUAUUUUUUAACUGACAAUUUACAGGAAGUAUCUAAGACAUUAUUAAACAAAAUACAAAGAAUUGUUAACUAGAGAUCUGCGUCUGGAUAUUCUAGACUUCUGGUGUAUGGAUUUGUUUUAGCUUAAUAAUAACUUUUUUUUUUUUUACCUCUGGUACCCUGAAAAGGAAAAAAAAAAUGUCUGUAUAUAUGUGUGUAUAUAUACUCUUGAACCACUCUUAAGCAGGUGAAAUAAGAUUUAAGAUUGAUAGGUGAAGUAAUGUUUUUAUUAGACAAAGAAUCUAAGCCUUUUAGUAAUACCUAGUGGGUGUUGCCGUCGUUCAUUGCCCACUUCCCCUGUACAGUGAUACCACCAUCACCUUAGAGCAUUGCCACUUUGUUACCUUAACUUUAGAUUUUCCCUGUCAAUGUCAAAAUUUCUUCUGGGGUUUAAAAAAGUUACAUAAAGUUUGAGCAAUCAAUAUUCACCUUGAAGAAAAUACAUGAAAGAUGAGAAUAAAUGGUUAUAUAACUUUCUACUAUACCAAGUUGCUUGUGUUUUCCUUCUCAUUGCCUCAAAUGUAACUGCCUUAACUCUCAACAUAUGGCUUUUCCUGACUCACUUUUUUUUUAUGGCUUAUCCCACAUGUCACUUCUUCCAGGAAGCAAUUUCUGAUUAUUUUCCUUUCUCUUCCAAAUAGAUACGAUCAUCCACAUUAACAAAACAAAACUCAUGUGUUCUAUUUAUGGUACCCAUUCU